CCCUUAGAUGUUCUGGGCUGCACGCGCGCUACACUGGUGCGUUCAGCGAGUUUAGCACCUUAACAGAUAUGUUUGGGUAAUCUUCUGAAAACGCACCGUGAUGGGGAUCGAUUAUUGUAAUUAUUAAUCGUCAACGAGGAAUUCCUAGUAAGUGUGAAUCAUCAGUUCGCGCUGAUUACGUCCCUGCCCUUUGUACACACCGCCCGUCGCUGCUACCGAUUGAGUGGUCCUGUGAAUUAUUCGGACCGGUGGACUGUGGGGAAACCCGCGGCCUGCUGGGAAGUCUUGUGAACCUUAUCACUUAGAGGAAGCAGAAGGCGUAACA
RNAcentral lists this ribosomal RNA (325 nucleotides) under uncultured eukaryote. Its description in RNAcentral is "partial 18S ribosomal RNA". It matches the Rfam family "Eukaryotic small subunit ribosomal RNA", at positions 1470 to 1796 of the family's 1831-position model. The record is from RNAcentral.